Molecule: transfer RNA, 72 nt
Filed under: Trogon personatus
Lineage: Eukaryota; Metazoa; Chordata; Aves; Trogoniformes; Trogonidae
Description: tRNA-Ile
Source: RNAcentral
GGAAAUGUGCCCGAACUUUAAGGACCACUAUGAUAAAGUGGACAUAGAGGUAUACCAGUCCUCUCAUUUCCU